CUUUUACAAGCAAACCCCUUAUAAGAUCCCUUGCUGCAAAACUUACCACUGGUGAUUCUGGAAAUCGAAGAGGCAGGCCAACAACAUUGAAUAGUGUGGCCCGAUUCCCAGAUCCCUUAAAAGGAGUUUUACCAAAUAAGAGCUCAUAAAGAAAGAUCCCAAAAGUCCACCAAUCUACAGCACUUCCAUGACCUUCACCCUUAAUAAUUUCAGGUGCCAAAUACUCAUGGGUCCCAACAAAUGACAUAGAUCUAGCAUCAGUUGGCUC
RNAcentral lists this unclassified non-coding RNA (268 nucleotides) under Hevea brasiliensis (rubber tree). Lineage: Eukaryota; Viridiplantae; Streptophyta; Magnoliopsida; Malpighiales; Euphorbiaceae. The record is from RNAcentral.